This is a long non-coding RNA of Oncorhynchus tshawytscha (Chinook salmon), 3432 nucleotides long. NCBI's taxonomy places the organism in Eukaryota, Metazoa, Chordata, Actinopteri, Salmoniformes, Salmonidae. The record is from Ensembl.
UGAUUAGAGCGUUGGACUAGUAACCAGCAGGUAACCUAGUGAUUAGAGCGUUGGACUAGUAACCAGCAGGUAACCUAGUGGUUAGAGCGUUGGACUAGUAACCAGCAGGUAACCUAGUGAUUAGAGCGUUGGACUAGUAACCAGCAGGUAACCUAGUGAUUAGAGCGUUGGACUAGUAACCAGCAGGUAACCUAGUGAUUAGAGCGUUGGACUAGUAACCAGCAGGUAACCUAGUGAUUAGAGCGUUGGACUAGUAACCGGAAGGUUGCAAGAGCGAAUCCCUGAGCUGACAAGGUAAAAAAAAAAAUCUGUUGUUCUGCCCCCUGAACAAGACAGUUAACCCACUGUUCCUAGGCUGUCAUUGAAAAUAAGAAUUUGUUCUUAACUAACUUUUGCCUAGUUAAAUAAAAAUUAAUUGCGAAGAGCGAUGUACCAUUUACACUAUAUUGUUCCCCUUUAUCAGCUGACAUCGUCAUAGAAACUGAGAACACAUCCUGCCUAAAGCCAGAUCUGAUAGUAACUGAAGUCGUCAGGUACAGAUGAAUGUCCACAACUACAUGAUUCCUCUUUAGACACGUCCUUAGUAAAGACAGUAUUUCAUUGCUGUUACUACUAGUUCUAGCCUGCUUCUCAGCAGAGAGAGAGAGAGCUGUUUGAGGCCACAACUCUCUCUCUCUCUCUCUCUCUCUCUGUCUCUCUGUCUCUCUGUGUCUCUCUGUGUCUCUGUCUGUGUCUCUCUGUGUCUCUCUGUGUCUCUCUGUGUCUCUCUGUGUCUCUCUGUGUCUGGUAGCUAGAUGGAAAGACAUGGGACCUUUUCUCUACAAGACUCCAGUAGUCUGACAAGGUAUUUAUCAUAAGUGGGUACAGAACAUUCUGCUCUUGCAGAAGAAACACAUCCUUCAUCAGUCUCGGGCGACUAAUAUUUUACCUUUUUGAUUUUAGCACCAUUAAGCUGAAAUUACCCACAAGACAACAAGAGGUCUCUACCUCCAUAUCUCUUAAUGAUAACCUGCUCACAAGACAACAAGAGGUCUCUACCUCCAUAUCUCUUAAUGAUAACCUGCUCACAAGACAACAAGAGGUCUCUACCUCCAUAUCUCUUAAUGAUAACCUGCUCACAAGACAACAAGAGGUCUGGGAAGAGGUCUCUACCUCCAUAUCUCUUAAUGAUAACCUGCUCACAAGACAACAAGAGGUCUCUACCUCCAUAUCUCUUAAUGAUAACCUGCUCACAAGACAACAAGAGGUCUGGGAAGAGGUCUCUACCUCCAUAUCUCUUAACGACGGCCUGCGCAGCUUCUAUAACCACAGCGGGAGGGUGGUCCUGUGUCUUUGCGAGGAUUUGGUUUCCUAUGGUUACCAUGGCAGCAAGACGCUCUGUUACCUCAUGCUCCAUAAUGAUGUCAGCAGGUGACUGUGGUCCAGAAUGAAACCCUAGUUUCUGUAGUCCACUGCCCUGUUCCAAAGUAGUGGACUUUAAAAUGAAGUAGGGUGCCAUUUCAGAUAUAUACAAUACACUGAACUGUGUUCAUAAUAUCCACUACAGUAGACUGUGUUCAUAACAGUAGACUGUGUUCAUAACAGUAGACUGUGUUCAUAACAGUAGACUGUGUUCAUAACAGGAGACUGUGUUCAUAAUGUCCACUACAGUAGACUGUGUUCAUAACAGUAGACUGUGUUCAUAAUGUCCAGUACAGUAGACUGUGUUCAUAAUGUCCACUACAGUAGACUGUGUUCAUAACAGUAGACUGUGUUCAUAAUGUCCAGUACAGUAGACUGUGUUCAUCACAGUAGACUGUGUUCACAAUGUCCAGUACAGUAGACUGUGUUCAUAACAGUAGACUGUGUUCAUCACAGUAGACUGUGUUCAUCACAGACUUUACAGUAGACUGUGUUCAUAAUGUCCAGUACAGUAGACUGUGUUCAUAAUGUCCAGUACAGUAGACUGUGUUCAUAACAGUAGACUGUGUUCAUAAUGUCCAGUACAGUAGACUGUGUUCAUAAUGUCCAGUACAGUAGACUGUGUUCAUAAUGUCCAGUACAGUAGACUGUGUUCAUAAUGUCCACUACAGUAGACUGUGUUCAUAAUGUCCAGUACAGUAGACUGUGUUCAUAACAGUAGACUGUGUUCAUAACAGUAGACUGUGUUCAUAUGUGUCAACGAGGGCCUCUGAAGUCCAUACCAACGAUCACAUGAUAAUUCCUCUAUGCUCUAUUUGAGGAAUCCUGUAGGAAUGUUGCAGUCCUCCACCGUGUUAAGUUUGGUCGUCUUGAUCCUCGUUUGAUCACACAAGAUGUAGAAAACACUGCUGCUAGCAGAAAUCUGUGGCUGGACGUUUCCAUCCGGGGCAGAAAUCUGUGGCUGGACGUUUCCAUUUGAAGCAGAAAUCUGUGGCUGGAAGUUUCCAUUCGAAGCAGAAAUCUGUGGCUGGAAGUUUCCAUUCGAAGCAGAAAUCUGUGGCUGGAAGUUUCCAUCCGGGGCAGAAAUCUGUGGCUGGAAGUUUCCAUCCGGGGCAGAAAUCUGUGGCUGGAAGUUUCCAUCCAGGGCAGAAAUCUGUGGCUGGAAGUUUCCAUUUGAAGCAGAAAUCUGUGGCUGGAAGUUUCCAUCCGGGGCAGAAACAUGUGGCUGGAAGUUUCCAUUCGAAGCAGAAAUAUGUCUCCAAACUGUACUGUGAAGUAUCGUCUCUGAGACCAAGUGGUCUACGGGCUAAGCCAACAUACUGUAUGCUCUAGUAUCAACAUGGGGAAUACACAGUAUAUCUGAGGUGAUUCUUAUCGAAUGGUACAUUAUCCUCUAGCAUUACCCCCCCCUCCCCCUCCCCCUCCUCCCUUUAGAGUGGUAGAAUGAUUCCCAAUCAGAGUUGAAUCACUGAUUAAUUGAUCACCCUGUGUGUCUCUGUACCGCCCUGUAAACAUACCAACAGAACCUGCCUUCUAAAUGGGGUGGACGUGGGGUUGAAGCGUUGGUUUGCGGUAAGAGUAGAGUAACGAUAACGCUGUUCGUUCUUGGCCGAUGUCAUCACACCGGCUUUAACCCGGUACCUGCUUUGGAGGGGAAAAACAAGAACCCUUUUUUAGAGUCUAAAUGAUGUCUUCUAUAAUAUUGACGUAUAUUUGUCCCGGUAUGUACAGUAUAUACCACAGCUAGGCUGCCGUGGAACCAUAAUGUGUAUACGUCUCAAUGAAACUCAGUCACUAUGUUGAGGUAUUCCAGCAGUACAGUUCCCUGCUAACAUUAAUGUACAGUAUAUACCACAGCUAUGCUGCUGUGGAACCAUAAUGUGUAUACGUCUCAAUGAAACUCAGUCACUAUGUUGAGGUAUGUACAGCUCCCUGCUAACAUUAAUGUACAUAAUGCCAGAAAUGUACAGUUGUCCCUGGUCUGGUCUGAUGUGUCUCUCAGCUCCAUCUUACCUUUUUUUUUUUUUUUUA